AGCUCCUUUGUCUCUUAUUCUGUACAGCAAUAUUUGUCAAAGGCUGCAAACAGGAAUAUACUGGCGUAUUUAGCUCCCUUUUCUGGAACUUCCUUCUCUCCAGGAUCUUGACCUCUCAAGUCCUGCCUACUUUGGCAGCCUUGAACUCAAAUUCCCAUGACAUCGCCAAAAGGUCUGCUGCAUCUCGGCAGAUGACCUGAGAGAGAAAAGCAUCUUUUUUUUUUUUUUUGUCUUUUGUCCUUUUAGGGCCUCGCACACAGCAUGCAGAGGUUCCCAGGCUAGGGGUCUAAUCAGAGAUGUUGCUGCCGGCCUACACCACAGCUCACCAAAAUGCUGGAUCCUUAACCCACUGAGUGAGGUCAGGGAUUGAAGCUGCAACCUCAUGGUUCCUAGUAGGAUUUGUUUCCGAUGUGCCACAACGGGAACUCUGAGAAAAGCAUCUUCUCAACUCUCUUUAGUUCCCUCUUUCUCAGAUCUUCGCUCCUUGAGUCCUACUGCCCUGGCAACUCUCUGAUACCACUCUGGCUCAGGAGAGGCCUUCCUCAAUCUAGCAGCAUCUGAGAUCAGCUUCUGUUCUGACUGGUCAGUGCCUAGGACAGUCCAAAUUAUUAUCUCAGAGGUUCUAAGUGCAAGGGAACAGUCCACAGGCAGUUACUACAGUUGGUUUGGCUAUCUUUAUCACCGGUCAACAGCAGAGGCAUUAAUAAUUAGAAUAAUGAAAGUUAGAAAUGAUUUUUCUAUGAUGACAAUGGUUGCGUCUAGCAUAUGUGGAUGGGCUAGAAAUAACAUGUAGGUCUUCUUGCUGGUGCACAAACAAUGCAUGAAGAAUCCCGCAAGCCCAAUUAACCUGUAGAUUAGAAUUCCAAACGGUCCAUUGUUCCAUUGGUCUAAUGGUCCAAUGGUCCGUCCUUCCAGAUCCUUCCAGGAGGAUUUUUUUUGGUCUGACUUUGAAUCAUGCCAUCAGCACAGAACCACACUUACUUCUAGUGCCUCUUUUAUGUAAGAUGCUGUAGGUGUGUGUGUGUGUGACUAAAAGGACAGGGAUUAUCAAGUUUACAUAACAGACUGUAUAAUUUUUUUUGGCCAGCUUGCUAACACAUGUCUGUAACUGUGGUGCAAUUUCAUGUAAGAUUUAUUUUCUUCAUAACACCACCUAGAAAUGUUUUGUGAAAGGAAACCCAUGGCCCCACUUACCUGGAACUAUGGGAUGCUAACAUUUUUCACAAACUGGCCUCGGUCAGUUUGGAAAAUAUCCUUUGCUUCAUAAGUCAGUGCAAAACUUGAGCGGCCAUGAUGGCCUGCUCAUUUUCUCUGGCUUUCCAGCUUUGUUUUUCUUGUAAAAUAUCAUAGUAUGGUACUCUUGGCUUUUCCACGUUCUCUCAUUAGCCCUAGUAGCACACAAGAGGAACUGAGGUUCCUGAAAGGUCUAAGUUGACAGGUGAAUCGUAUUCAAGAGAAUUGAACUCUUUCUUCUCUCCAUCCGAGGAAAGCCCACAGAGAUUGUAAUGUAUUCUUAAGCAGAAGAUACAUUACAGAACCCAAAUAUGCGUCAACGAAACAGCUUAAGAACCUAGGGAGGCCACCAAAGCAGCUUUUGUGAGCGCAGACCAAGAAGGGCCUGGGCACAGAGCAUCAAGGGAUCCUUGCACUCUUAAGCUUGGCAGGACCUUAGAUAUUUUUCUAGUCUAUUUAUAAUCUCCAUUUUAUAAUCAGGGCAACAGGUCAAGGGACGUUUGGUAACUUAGCGGAAAUUCCUCAGGAGGUAAGGUUUGCCCCAGAAUUCAGUUGACCAGAUUUUAAUCCAUUGUCUGCUCAGAGCUCCCUGUUUUAUGUGCUCCAGAAUGAGCUCCUAGAGGCCAGUGGCUCCUGCUCGGGCUACGGUAACAUCACCCAGGGCUGGCUCUUAUGAUCUAGCCCACGUUAGGUCACCAUACGCCAAACCCUGCACAGAACUUUUAGGUGACCAGCUGGCUUGGAUAUGAGCACAAUGCCAUCGACAAAGUAAGUAGAAGUUUCUGUGCGAGCGUCACAGGAAAAAAACUGCAAUCAGGGAUGUGGGAUACUUUGAAUUCUGACUAUCCCGAUAUAGUUAUUGCCUUUUUGGGAGAGAAAUAUGAAAAGACUGAUGUCAAUGACACCAAGCAACUUAUAUGUGAGCCUUGACCUAAUUUUUUUUUUUUUUCUUUUUAGGGCCACACCUGCAGCAUAUGGAAGGUCCCAGGCUAGGGGCUGAACUGGAGCUGCAGCUGCAGGCCUACACCACAGAUAUAGCAACGCAAGAUUCGAGCCACAUCUGCAACCUACACCACAGCUCACGGCAACCCCAGAUCCCUGACCGACUAUGUGAGGCCAGGGAUUGAACCUGCAUCCUCAUGGAUUCUUGUCGGAUUCUUUUCUGCUGCACUAUGAUGGGAACUCCUCACCUAAGUUUUUCGGGUCCUUAUCUCUCUGGUUGAAAUUCAUUUCAUUCUCUGGAUAAUUUUGGCAGAGAAUAAAUAUGCUGUCUCAAAACACACACACACACACACACACACCCUAAACCCAUUCAGUUAUUUCUCAUGAGACAAAUACCAAUCUGAGGCAUAAAAUGAAAGAGGAAAAAUUCUUCAUACUGAAGAGAGGGAUAUGUGUUCGAAUUUCCUAUAAAAAUAGGAAAUCACGGGGAUCUGAUUUAUUUGCCAACAUGACAGAUAUUUUGAAACACCACUGACUUGGUCUGUUUUUAUUUCCCCAGCUACAGUUGAAGUUAACAAUGUACUUCACAGAGAAAUCACAGGCACACGGGGUUGUCGAUAGAAAAGUUCCCUUACAGAUCCAUGAGGACGAGGGUUCGAUCCCUGGCCUCGAUCAGUGGGUUAAGCAUCCCGUGUUCCCGGGAGCUGUGAUGCAGGUCACAGACGUGAUUCAGAACUGGCGUUGCUAUGGCUGUGGUGUAGGCUGGCAGCUAUAGCUCUGAUUUGACCUCUAGCCUGGGAACUUCCGUAUGCCAUGGGCUGUGACCCUAAAAAUAAAAAAAAAAAAAAAAAAGAAAAAAAAAAGAAAAAGAAAAAGAAAAAAGAAAGAAAGAAAGAAAA
This 3074-nucleotide long non-coding RNA is filed under the name Sus scrofa (pig). RNAcentral describes it as "lncRNA (ENSSSCG00065022234.1)". Lineage: Eukaryota; Metazoa; Chordata; Mammalia; Artiodactyla; Suidae. The record is from RNAcentral.